GAUUACUGCAUAUAUAUAGGAUUACCGAAAUUUCAAGACUUGAUUUGUAUUAUCUGCUUCUAAGAACGAGCCGCUGAAGCUUUCAUUUAAAAGAAUUUGUUUUAUGCAUGUUCAGCUUCAAAAUGUGUGCUUGUACGCUUGAAAAAGACUUGGUUUGUACGAUUAUUUUCCUUUUCGGAUGCUGUCUUCUCCUGGCUCAUUUCUGGACAUGGAAUCCUGAAAACGCAAAUCUUUCUCUUAUUUUUCUACGAGCUUCCGUCGUUUCAGUGGCAGUCGGUGUAUGGCUUUACGCUUUCUCAAGACUUUGAAAUGAUAUUUCUUGAAGCAUACUAGGAAUUCAGAAGAGACUAGUACCAUAGGGUUGAGAUACAAAGAUAUUCUACCUGGAUGUAAUAUAAGGAUGUUUAUGGUUUUCAGUUAAUAUUGUUUGUAAAGAAAAACUUUGACUUAUUUUGACAAAUGCUUUUAUGAACUGCGCAACUUUGUUUUUACUUCGAGAAGUUUUAAUAAAAAACUAAAUGAA
Long non-coding RNA from Stegodyphus dumicola, 523 nucleotides. RefSeq lists it as uncharacterized. The record is from RefSeq and is a predicted model, not a curated record. Lineage: Eukaryota; Metazoa; Arthropoda; Arachnida; Araneae; Eresidae.